This 655-nucleotide ribosomal RNA is filed under the name Streptomyces sp. RNAcentral describes it as "bacterial SSU rRNA". It matches the Rfam family "Bacterial small subunit ribosomal RNA", at positions 350 to 1014 of the family's 1533-position model. Lineage: Bacteria; Bacillati; Actinomycetota; Actinomycetes; Kitasatosporales; Streptomycetaceae. The record is from RNAcentral.
AGCAGUGGGGAAUAUUGCACAAUGGGCGAAAGCCUGAUGCAGCGACGCCGCCUGAGGGAUGACGGCCUUCGGGUUGUAAACCUCUUUCAGCAGGGAAGAAGCGAAAGUGACGGUACCUGCAGAAGAAGCGCCGGCUAACUACGUGCCAGCAGCCGCGGUAAUACGUAGGGCGCAAGCGUUGUCCGGAAUUAUUGGGCGUAAAGAGCUCGUAGGCGGCUUGUCACGUCGAUUGUGAAAGCCCGAGGCUUAACCUCGGGUCUGCAGUCGAUACGGGCUAGCUAGAGUGUGGUAGGGGAGAUCGGAAUUCCUGGUGUAGCGGUGAAAUGCGCAGAUAUCAGGAGGAACACCGGUGGCGAAGGCGGAUCUCUGGGCCAUUACUGACGCUGAGGAGCGAAAGCGUGGGGAGCGAACAGGAUUAGAUACCCUGGUAGUCCACGCCGUAAACGGUGGGAACUAGGUGUUGGCGACAUUCCACGUCGUCGGUGCCGCAGCUAACGCAUUAAGUUCCCCGCCUGGGGAGUACGGCCGCAAGGCUAAAACUCAAAGGAAUUGACGGGGGCCCGCACAAGCGGCGGAGCAUGUGGCUUAAUUCGACGCAACGCGAAGAACCUUACCAAGGCUUGACAUACACCGGAAACGUCUGGAGACAGGCGCC